This 338-nucleotide ribosomal RNA is filed under the name uncultured Bacillota bacterium. Its description in RNAcentral is "bacterial SSU rRNA". It matches the Rfam family "Bacterial small subunit ribosomal RNA", at positions 28 to 351 of the family's 1533-position model. Lineage: Bacteria; Bacillati; Bacillota. The record is from RNAcentral.
GAUGAACGCUGGCGGCGUGCCUAACACAUGCAAGUCGAGCGGAAAUAUUCUGAAGUAUUCGUACGGAAGGGUAUUUCAGCGGCGGACGGGUGAGUAACACGUGAGCAACCUGCCUUCAGCUGGGGAAUAACAUUGGGAAACCAGUGCUAAUACCGCAUGACAUCGCGGGGGGACAUCCCCCUGCGAUCAAAGGAUUUCGAUCCGGCCGAAGAUGGGCUCGCGUCCGAUUAGUUAGUUGGUGAGGUAACGGCUCACCAAGACCGCGAUCGGUAGCCGAACUGAGAGGUUGAUCGGCCACAUUGGGACUGAGACACGGCCCAGACUCCUACGGGAGGCUG